RNAcentral lists this ribosomal RNA (250 nucleotides) under uncultured prokaryote. RNAcentral's name for it is "partial 16S ribosomal RNA". It matches the Rfam family "Bacterial small subunit ribosomal RNA", at positions 524 to 774 of the family's 1533-position model. The record is from RNAcentral.
UACGUAGGGGGCGAGCGUUAUCCGGAUUUAUUGGGCGUAAAGCGUGCGUAGGCGGUUUAUUAAGUCUGAAAUAAAAGCCUGUGGCUCAACCACAGAUCGUUUCAGAUACUGGUAGACUAGAGUAUGGUAGAGGCAAAUGGAAUUCCUAGUGUAGCGGUGAAAUGCGUAGAUAUUAGGAGGAACACCAGUGGCGAAGGCGGUUUGCUGGGCCAAAACUGACGCUGAGGUACGAAAGCGUGGGUAGCAAAUA